CUGCUAAGUGUUUGUGGAGCUCCCUGGCACACAUUGAACACCUGGCAGUAGAAGGAGGACCCAUUUCUGAGCUUUCUUCUGUUUUUCUUAAAAAGACUUAAACAGCAAAUUCUAAGGUCUAAGUGUCUAAGGUUGUAGUGUGACUUUUGAUUUCAUGGUAUUGGACAUUGUAUGAAAAAUAAUUUAAGAUGUGGUUGUGGAUUUUGAUUGGCCUAAACAUCAUCACAAAGGUGCAUGGGUAUGGAGAUGGCAUAUUCCCAGAGGUGUGUGAUUCAAUGUUACCUCAUCAUACAAUACGUGGGACACCUAUCAAUCCUCAGAACACUGAACUGCCCUUUGAGAUCGUCUACAAAGAGGGCAAAAAGGGAGAACCUAUUACAGUUACUCUCCGGAGUAACCAAUCCAGAAUGUUUGAGGGAUUUAUGUUGGAGGCUCAACAGAGAGGCUCUCCUGUAGGAAUAUUCACCCUGCUUGAGCCUGCACGAACUAGACUCCUGAAGUGCAAUGG
Etheostoma spectabile (orangethroat darter) is the source of this 508-nucleotide long non-coding RNA. RefSeq lists it as uncharacterized. The transcript has 3 exons. The record is from RefSeq and is a predicted model, not a curated record. Lineage: Eukaryota; Metazoa; Chordata; Actinopteri; Perciformes; Percidae.